RNAcentral lists this ribosomal RNA (429 nucleotides) under Gemmatimonadota bacterium. Its description in RNAcentral is "Gemmatimonadetes bacterium partial 16S ribosomal RNA". It matches the Rfam family "Bacterial small subunit ribosomal RNA", at positions 355 to 776 of the family's 1533-position model. The record is from RNAcentral. Lineage: Bacteria; Pseudomonadati; Gemmatimonadota.
UAGGGAAUCUUCGGCAAUGGACGAAAGUCUGACCGAGCAACGCCGCGUGAGUGAAGAAGGUUUUCGGAUCGUAAAACUCUGUUGUUAGAGAAGAACAAGGACGUUAGUAACUGAACGUCCCCUGACGGUAUCUAACCAGAAAGCCACGGUUAACUACGUGCCAGCAGUCGCGGUAAUACGUAGGUGGCAAGCGUUGUCCGGAUUUAUUGGGCGUAAAGCGAGCGCAGGCGGUUUCUUAAGUCUGAUGUGAAAGCCCCCGGCUCAACCGGGGAGGGUCAUUGGAAACUGGGAGACUUGAGUGCAGAAGAGGAGAGUGGAAUUCCAUGUGUAGCGGUGAAAUGCGUAGAUAUAUGGAGGAACACCAGUGGCGAAGGCGGCUCUCUGGUCUGUAACUGACGCUGAGGCUCGAAAGCGUGGGGAGCAAACAGG